GACGAACGCUGGCGGCGUGCUUAACACAUGCAAGUCGAACGGAAAGGCCCUGCUUUUGUGGGGUGCUCGAGUGGCGAACGGGUGAGUAACACGUGAGUAACCUGCCCUUGACUUUGGGAUAACUUCAGGAAACUGGGGCUAAUACCGGAUAGGAGCUCCUGCUGCAUGGUGGGGGUUGGAAAGUUUCGGCGGUUGGGGAUGGACUCGCGGCUUAUCAGCUUGUUGGUGGGGUAGUGGCUUACCAAGGCUUUGACGGGUAGCCGGCCUGAGAGGGUGACCGGCCACAUUGGGACUGGGAUACGGCCCAGACUCCUACGGGAGGCAGCAGUGGGGAAUAUUACACAAUGGGCGGAAGCCUGAUGCAGCAACGCCGCGUGCGGGAUGACGGCCUUCGGGUUGUAAACCGCUUUCGCCUGUGACGAAGCGUGAGUGACGGUAAUGGGUGAAGAAGCACCGGCUAACUACGUG
RNAcentral lists this ribosomal RNA (468 nucleotides) under uncultured bacterium. Its description in RNAcentral is "partial 16S ribosomal RNA". It matches the Rfam family "Bacterial small subunit ribosomal RNA", at positions 28 to 507 of the family's 1533-position model. The record is from RNAcentral.